GCGAGAUGAAACCCCCGGUGUUGAUGAACUUUCCAGCAAAAGCUGUUCCUACCCAGUUUGCAAGGCCCAGUCAGCUUGUACUCUCAGAGGGCCAGCACUCCACUCUGAUGGAAAUCUGCCUGUGAUGCCAGCCUGGGGAGUGCCCUUCACACGUGAUCUCAUCUAAGCCUGGCUUGACAGUAAGAAGAGGAGGAAGAGGAGGAAGCUUAGGAAUCCUCUCUGAAGGGGACAUGGUUCUUGGAGGCCUGAUUUGUAUUGGGGAGAAUCCUGAAACCAAUCACUGAGGGAGCACUACCCUUUAUGAUGGGGAUGGAAAAGCCACAGCAACCCUAUGGCCUCUAGUUUUGGAGAGGGACUCAGCUAAAGACCAAAGGAAGCACCAGAAAGAAGAACUGAAGAGUUUAAUUUGGUUAAACAUAAAUAAAAAUAAAAACAUCUCUAGAAUAUAGAAACUAUCUCUAGAAGUCCGGGUGUUGUGGCUCACACCUGUAAUCCCAGCAUUUUGGGAGGCUAAGGCAGGUGGAUGACCUGAGCUCAGGAAUUUGAGACCAGCCUGGGCAAUAUGGCAAAACUUCGUCUCUGCCAAAAAUACAAAAAAUUAGCCGGGUGUGGUGGUAUGCACCUGUUGUCACAGCUACUCGAGAGGCUGAAGUGGGAGAACUGCUUGAGCCUGGGAGGCAGAGGUUGUAGUGAGCCAAGAUUGCACCACUGCACUCCAACCUGGGUGAAAAAAAUAAAAGAAAAACUAUCUCUAGGGGUGGAGCUCUGGGGAAUGUUUUCUCUGUUCAAAUGUUCUACCAAGCAGAUGUAUUACAGUGGAUGUGAUUGCCUUUAAUUUGCUUGAUUUGCUGGACAUCGUUCAAAGGUCAUCCCCAGGUAUCAGUGGAUGGAUAGGAAGGAGAGUGUGUGCACUGAGGGUGUGGCUGUGGGCCCUGCAGGGGAGGCACCACAGGGAGGGGCUGGCACUCCUAUGGGCUCAGACGCUCAGGUGAGUUGCCCAUUACAUAAGGUGCAUUGCUAGGGCAUUAGCUCAGCCAGGAAGGAACCACUCUGGACUUGUG
Molecule: long non-coding RNA, 1061 nt
Filed under: Homo sapiens (human)
Lineage: Eukaryota; Metazoa; Chordata; Mammalia; Primates; Hominidae
Description: non-protein coding lnc-DKK3-10:5
Source: RNAcentral